CAGUAGCCGCGGGAAUACGUAGGUGGCAAGCGUUGUCCGGAAUUAUUGGGCGUAAAGGGCUCGCAGGCGGUUUCUUAAGUCUGACGUGAAAGCCCCCGGCUCAACCGGGGAGGGUCAUUGGAAACUGGGAAACUUGAGUGCAGAAGAGGAGAGUGGAAUUCCACGUGUAGCGGUGAAAUGCGUAGAGAUGUGGAGGAACACCAGUGGCGAAGGCGACUCUCUGGUCUGUAACUGACGCUGAGGAGCGAAAGCGUGGGGAGCGAACAGGAUUAGAUACCCCCGUAGUCCCUGUCUCUUAUAC
This 301-nucleotide ribosomal RNA is filed under the name uncultured bacterium. Its description in RNAcentral is "partial 16S ribosomal RNA". It matches the Rfam family "Bacterial small subunit ribosomal RNA", at positions 509 to 807 of the family's 1533-position model. The record is from RNAcentral.